GUAAAUUCAUAAGUUGUAUCUUUGAUUAUUAAUUUUAUCUUAGUAUACCAUUUAUGGGAUAUCAUUUUUUCUAUUUUAUUAAUGUAGAUUUCUUCUUCGUGUUCUUUGCUAGAAGUAGUAGCUCGUAAUCUAUUUUGCUCUUGGAUAAUCAUGGUUCCUUGUAUUUCUAGAAGUUUUACCUCUAGCUCAUCAUCUCUAGUUUUUAAUGUUCUAAUCUCAUUUUUGAGAAUCG
RNAcentral lists this long non-coding RNA (232 nucleotides) under Trifolium pratense (red clover). Its description in RNAcentral is "long non-coding RNA (TPRA_LNC004981)". The record is from RNAcentral. Lineage: Eukaryota; Viridiplantae; Streptophyta; Magnoliopsida; Fabales; Fabaceae.